Armigeres subalbatus is the source of this 1130-nucleotide long non-coding RNA. RefSeq lists it as uncharacterized. The transcript is spliced from 4 exons. The record is from RefSeq and is a predicted model, not a curated record. Lineage: Eukaryota; Metazoa; Arthropoda; Insecta; Diptera; Culicidae.
AUAAUGUAAUGUCCAUCGACGUAAUUUGAGCAACGUAGCAAAUAUUCGAUGUAAUGACGAAAUUCGAAUGUAUAAUGACAUCCAUUUGGAUGUAAUUCUACAUCUCCUUGAAAUUACACAGGUUUAGAACUACCAGUUUCCAUUUACGUUGCAAGUGUGUAAUAUUCGCAUGUCAAGCGAUGAAUAUUACACACAAUCAUGUGCAACCCACUUAUUCAAAAGUUGUAGUGUGAAAUUACACAACUUUGAAUGUGAUAUCACAAUAGUUUACUACGCAAUAUUGUAUAUUGGCAACACUGACCUUUUUCGCUUUUCGUCAUUCGUCAUCGUUUUUCAUCAGUACGCCAUUUUUGUUUGGUUGUUUGCUGCCUUUGCUGCAUUUGCUGCGGUUGCUUUUACGGUUGCUGAAUUUCAAUUUAAAAAAAGCAGACAUUUGGUGCGCGAAAAGGUCGAGCAUCCCUUGUUAACUAAAUUUGAGAUCUAGAUCGCAGAACUGGAUAAACGACACUCCUGUUAAUCACAACGCGGGAACGGAAUUCAUUUGGAAUGGAACAAAAUUAAUUGCCCGCGAUGAGCAACAUUCAUCAUUUGGAAUUCCUGGUUCCGAUUUCAAAAACCUCAGGCCCGGCAGAUAAAAAUAAACCGGAUGACGAUCCAGUGCUAAACGAUGGAAACAGUUUUGCGAAUCGUUGGCAAAGGGAUGGUACAAACUCGGGAACAAAGGCAACAUAGCCGAAACUGGACGAUUAUUUUGCAGCAGGCAGAAGGAAUUAGAUAUCGCCGAAUGUAGCGAAAAAUUGUCUAGAACGGUUCAUCUCCAUCAACGAGUCUAAUCAAAGGCGUCAAGCAUGCGAGAUUCUUCCGGCUCAAGAACAAUUUAUGCCUCGCUGACAGACGUUCGGUUACUACAUAUCCAGGAGCAUAGAUGCCGGCUUUGGCAUAGUUUGCGGUUUCGAAGCGCCUCCGAACGCGAAGGGAUUCCAGCAAGACAUGAGCCACCCUGGGUCUGCGGAUCGAUACUGGAUUCCUGAUAUUUUUCAAUAUACUUGCUUCAAUAUGUAUCGCCGUUGCAUUUGAUCUAUCGGGGAUAGAUCUGCUGAUGCAGUAAAAAAAAUAAAGUAUGUUUUUAU